CAACCCUUCAAACGCUGCGAGAGCUGCAGCCUCCUUCAAUUCAACCCCCGGAACUUACGCCACACUCAGAACACAGGGAUUCGCUGCCACCCCGGGAUACCCCUAACACCCUGGAAAAGGCAUGUUUUCCUUCAAUCAAGACCCUCAAAACCACGAGUGCACGGGAAUCCCACCCAGUUCAAACACAGGCAAUAAUGGAAGAGAAGUUGCUUCCCUCAUUUUGAAUUUCUUUUGUCUUAAUAAACCCUAGUUUGUUUGGG
Molecule: long non-coding RNA, 260 nt
Organism: Vidua macroura (Pin-tailed whydah)
Lineage: Eukaryota; Metazoa; Chordata; Aves; Passeriformes; Viduidae
Exons: 2
Source: RefSeq, a predicted model, not a curated record